UACGGGGGGGGGCAAGCGUUGUUCGGAAUUACUGGGCGUAAAGCGCACGUAGGCGGCUUUCUAAGUCGGGGGUGAAAUCCUGGAGCUCAACUCCAGAACUGCCUUCGAUACUGGAAGCUCGAGUCCGGGAGAGGUGAGUGGAAUUCCGAGUGUAGAGGUGAAAUUCGUAGAUAUUCGCAAGAACACCAGUGGCGAAGGCGGCUCACUGGCCGGUACUGACGCUGAGGUGACGAAAGUGGUGGGGAGCGAACGAGGAUUAUGAGACCCG
Molecule: ribosomal RNA, 268 nt
Filed under: uncultured bacterium
Lineage: Bacteria
Description: partial 16S ribosomal RNA
Rfam family: Bacterial small subunit ribosomal RNA
Source: RNAcentral